ACAGAGGGGGCGAGUGUUGUUCGGAUUUACUGGGCGUAAAGGGCGCGCAGGCGGCUCAUUUUGUCAGGCGUGAAAGCCCCGGGCUUAACCUGGGAGGUGCGUUUGAUACGGAUGGGCUAGAGUUCGGGAGAGGAGAGUGGAAUUCCCAGUGUAGAGGUGAAAUUCGUAGAUAUUGGGAAGAACACCGGUGGCGAAGGCGGCCAUCUGGACCGGCACUGACGCUGAGGCGCGAAAGCCAGGGGAGCGAAUGGGA
This 253-nucleotide ribosomal RNA is filed under the name uncultured prokaryote. RNAcentral's name for it is "partial 16S ribosomal RNA". It matches the Rfam family "Bacterial small subunit ribosomal RNA", at positions 525 to 777 of the family's 1533-position model. The record is from RNAcentral.